AGUGAACGCUGGCGGUAGGCCUAACACAUGCAAGUCGAACGGCAGCACAGUAAGAGCUUGCUCUUACGGGUGGCGAGUGGCGGACGGGUGAGGAAUACAUCGGAAUCUACUUUUUCGUGGGGGAUAACGUAGGGAAACUUACGCUAAUACCGCAUACGACCUACGGGUGAAAGCAGGGGAUCUUCGGACCUUGCGCGAUUGAAUGAGCCGAUGUCGGAUUAGUUAGUUGGCGGGGUAAAGGCCCACCAAGGCGACGAUCCGUAGCUGGUCUGAGAGGAUGAUCACCCACACUGGAACUGAGACACGGUCCAGACUCCUACGGGAGGCAGCAGUGGGGAAUAUUGGACAAUGGGCGCAAGCCUGAUCCAGCCAUACCGCGUGGGUGAAGAAGGCCUUCGGGUUGUAAAGCCCUUUUGUUGGGAAAGAAAAGCAGCAGGUUAAUACCCCGCUGUUCUGACGGUACCCAAAGAAUAAGCACCGGCUAACUUCGUG
This 492-nucleotide ribosomal RNA is filed under the name uncultured bacterium. RNAcentral describes it as "partial 16S ribosomal RNA". It matches the Rfam family "Bacterial small subunit ribosomal RNA", at positions 29 to 507 of the family's 1533-position model. The record is from RNAcentral.